UGUAAACGAAAAUACCACUGGGAUAGGAAAUUAAACUUUGAAAUUAUCAUUUCCUUGGAGCACAGCCAGGGCAUAAACAACAAAUAUAAACCAAGAAUAAAGAUGCAAAUAAUUCAUUGAUUUUGGCAGGCAGUUAAAAAUCGUUUGUACGAAGCUCGGGCGGCCGUCUUAAUUCCACUGAUUCCCCCGAAAAUCUCCCUGUCUUAGUGAUUACACAGGGGUUAGAUCCAUCACGGAUAAGCAUGAAACCAGUUUACUUAUUGGGAUAGUCCUAGUCCGGAUGACAAACCAGCGGAAAGAUGGAAGUUUAUGUUUUCUACCACCCAGGAGCAAAUUAGUAAAGAUUGAGUAGAGAAUCACUAUAAUACCGCAACCAUCGCUCGUAUAUUCUAAGAAUUCUGUAAACGUUGACUUUGACUUCAGUCCUCGAUUACAUUUGGAUUUUAAGGUGAACAUGUAUAGUGCCCAUUAGAAUAGGCUGUACAAUGGAAUCUAAUGGUGAGGUCCCGGAAGAAGACUUUAUAGCGACACUUCUGAAACAAUCGUCUGGAGUGUCACAUGUCAACAAGGCGUAUUCCACGACACCGACAGGAACUUCCGGUCCCCCGGAUCUUGUCAGAAAUUGCCACCACCAAGUUAGACACAAUGGUCACCACUACGGAGGUAACCACGUGACGAUAUUGGCCCCCAAGGACAAUGCCAGCCCCCACGCUAGUCACUCAAGUCUGACGGAUCCCUUGUUGGAUGACAAAGUUUAUUCAGCUCUAGCUUACGGCAUGUACGGUCUACUAUUGUUUAUCCUUACCAUGGUAACGACAAUUUGCUUGAUUGUAUUCACGUGAAUUACCCCGUUUUCUCAUUACAAAAUCAUCAACAUGAGGAAAUUAAUUUCAUGGCAUCGUGAUAUUUCCUUUAACUCCUUACUCAGAUCACGAAGAAAAAUAAAUCGGAUUUUCCAAUUCUACACGCAAUGGCAAAAGUCAUUGUACCAUCGAUUCGGGAUCAAUGACAGCAUACCUAGUGCAAAAGAAACUCUGGACAACCUUUACAAAUCUGCAGAAACCGCCUGUCUUGGCGGAAAAAACAUCCAAAGAUAUGUUCCCUAAUUCUAUUCAAAGGUACAACAAUGCGGUGUAAUGUGCUAUACUGGAAUGAGAAAUGCUGGAUCUGAAUAGGUUUACUUAAACGGGUUUUUUGCUGGAACUUUUAAGUGAAAGACUGCUUAGAAACUGUCAGAAACGGUCCUUUAAACAAUGCUUUUUUUUUAUUUGUUAAUAAAGAAAUAUUUUACUUGA
Magallana angulata is the source of this 1295-nucleotide long non-coding RNA. RefSeq lists it as uncharacterized. The transcript has 3 exons. The record is from RefSeq and is a predicted model, not a curated record. Lineage: Eukaryota; Metazoa; Mollusca; Bivalvia; Ostreida; Ostreidae.